Molecule: small RNA, 543 nt
Filed under: Influenza A virus (A/turkey/Oregon/1/1971(H7N3))
Lineage: Riboviria; Orthornavirae; Negarnaviricota; Insthoviricetes; Articulavirales; Orthomyxoviridae
Source: RNAcentral
AAGGUGUCAUCCGAUUUACUGUUCUUGAAGUCCCAGCGCAAAAUGCCAUAAGUACCACGUUCCCUUAUACUGGAGAUCCUCCAUACAGCCAUGGAACAGGAACAGGAUACACCAUGGACACGGUCAACAGAACACAUCAAUAUUCAGAAAAGGGGAAGUGGACAACAAACACGGAAACUGGAGCGCCCCAGCUUAACCCAAUUGUUGCAACUACACACUCCUGGAUUCCUAAGAGGAACCGCUCUAUCCUCAACACAAGCCAAAGGGGAAUUCUUGAGGAUGAAAAGAUGUAUCAAAAGUGCUGCAACCUGUUCGAGAAAUUCUUCCCCAGUAGUUCAUACAGAAGGCCGGUUGGAAUCUCUAGCAUGGUGGAGGCCAUGGUGUCUAGGGCCCGGAUUGAUGCCAGGAUUGACUUCGAGUCUGGGCGGAUUAAGAAAGAAGAGUUCGCUGAGAUCAUGAAGAUCUGUUCCACCAUUGAAGAGCUCAGACGGCAAAAAUAGUGAAUUUAGCUUGUCCUUCAUGAAAAAAUGCCUUGUUUCUACU